This 95-nucleotide transfer RNA is filed under the name compost metagenome. RNAcentral's name for it is "tRNA-Arg". The record is from RNAcentral.
CGCGCAGCUCGCGGGCUUUGCGGCGCUCGGGCUUGCGCUGCCCGUGCCGGCGGCCGUCAUCGCCGUCGUGCUCGGCGCGGGCCUGGGCGGUGCGU